RNAcentral lists this ribosomal RNA (452 nucleotides) under uncultured bacterium. RNAcentral describes it as "bacterial SSU rRNA". It matches the Rfam family "Bacterial small subunit ribosomal RNA", at positions 29 to 524 of the family's 1533-position model. The record is from RNAcentral.
AACGAACGCUGGCGGCAGGCUUAACACAUGCAAGUCGAACGGGCGUAGCAAUACGUCAGUGGCAGACGGGUGAGUAACACGUGGGAACCUUCCUAGGGGUACGGAACAACUCAGGGAAACUUGAGCUAAUACCGUAUACGUCCGUGAGGAGAAAGAUUUAUCGCCCUUAGACGGGCCCGCGUCGGAUUAGCUAGUUGGUGGGGUAACGGCCUACCAAGGCGACGAUCCGUAGCUGAUCUUAGAGGAUGAUCAGCCACACUGGGACUGAGACACGGCCCAGACUCCUACGGGAGGCAGCAGUGGGGAAUCUUGGACAAUGGGCGCAAGCCUGAUCCAGCCAUGCCGCGUGAGUGAAGAAGGUCUUCGGAUUGUAAAGCUCUUUUGCCAGGGACGAUAAUGACGGUACCUGGAGAAUAAGCCCCGGCAAACUUCGUGCCAGCAGCCGCGGUAAU